RNAcentral lists this small RNA (525 nucleotides) under Pan troglodytes (chimpanzee). Its description in RNAcentral is "retained intron". Lineage: Eukaryota; Metazoa; Chordata; Mammalia; Primates; Hominidae. The record is from RNAcentral.
AUAAACCCCAGAUUGAGUAUACUUUAAAGAGACUGAAAUUGAUAUUUCAUAUGUGUGAUUCUAAGUUUUUAUCCUAUCAUACUUAAAAUUAGAUUUGAGUGAUUUUUUACUGAAUUUUUACACAUUUUCCUAUACAAUGAGGAUUUUAAAAAACUUCGAAACAAUUGCAUUUUGUUUUAGUUUUAUAAUUAUCUUGUAAAUUACAUCCUAAAGUAGUGUUUCUUUUGUUGAAAAAAAGUUAAAAUUUUGGCCAUGAGCUUAAAAUUCUGUAAAUGUAAUUUUCAAAAAGAAAUUAAUAAAAGGGAGCCUUCUUUUGCUUUUACAGGAGUGCUAACAGGAAUGAAUGAAACUUCUGCUGUAAUCAUUGCUGCACCACAGAAUUUCACUCCCUCUGUGAUCUUUCAGAAGGUUGUAAAUGUAGCCAAUGUAGGUGCAGUCCCUUCUGGCCAGGAUAAUAUACACAGGUUUGCAGCUAAAACUGUGCACAGUGGGUCAUUGAUGCUAGUCACAGUGGAACUGAAGGAA